CUACGGGCGGCAGCAGUGAGGAAUAUUGCACAAUGGGGGGAACCCUGAUGCAGCAACGCCGCGUGGAGGAUGACGCAUUUCGGUGUGUAAACUCCUUUUAUAUGUCAAGAAAAUGACGGUAGCAUAUGAAUAAGCACCGGCUAACUCCGUGCCAGCAGCCGCGUUAAUACGGAGGGUGCAAGCGUUACUCGGAAUCACUGGGCGUAAAGGACGCGUAGGCGGGUUGGAAAGUCAGGUGUGAAAUCCUACAGCUUAACUGUAGAACUGCACUUGAAACUUCUAAUCUAGAGUAUGGGAGGGGGAGAUGGAAUUAGUGGUGUAGGGGUAAAAUCCGUAGAUAUCACUAGGAAUACCUAAAGCGAAGGCGAUCUCCUGGAACAUUACUGACGCUAAGGCGUGAAAGCGUGGGGAGCAAACAGGAUUAGAUACCCGAGUACUC
This 439-nucleotide ribosomal RNA is filed under the name uncultured bacterium. Its description in RNAcentral is "partial 16S ribosomal RNA". It matches the Rfam family "Bacterial small subunit ribosomal RNA", at positions 339 to 795 of the family's 1533-position model. The record is from RNAcentral.